AUGCUCGCUUCUGCAGCACAUAAACUAAAAUUGGAACAAUACAGAGAAGAGCAUGGCCCCUGCGCAAGGGUGACGUGCAAAUUUGUGAAGUUUUCCAUAUUUUU
Rattus rattus (black rat) is the source of this 104-nucleotide small nuclear RNA. The record is from RefSeq and is a predicted model, not a curated record. Lineage: Eukaryota; Metazoa; Chordata; Mammalia; Rodentia; Muridae.